Molecule: ribosomal RNA, 473 nt
Filed under: uncultured bacterium
Lineage: Bacteria
Description: bacterial SSU rRNA
Rfam family: Bacterial small subunit ribosomal RNA
Source: RNAcentral
ACUCCUACGGGAGGCAGCAGUAGGGAAUCUUCCACAAUGGGCGCAAGCCUGAUGGAGCAACACCGCGUGAGUGAAGAAGGGUUUCGGCUCGUAAAGCUCUGUUGUUAAAGAAGAACACGUAUGAGAGUAACUGUUCAUACGUUGACGGUAUUUAACCAGAAAGUCACGGCUAACUACGUGCCAGCAGCCGCGGUAAUACGUAGGUGGCAAGCGUUAUCCGGAUUUAUUGGGCGUAAAGAGAGUGCAGGCGGUUUUCUAAGUCUGAUGUGAAAGCCUUCGGCUUAACCGGAGAAGUGCAUCGGAAACUGGAUAACUUGAGUGCAGAAGAGGGUAGUGGAACUCCAUGUGUAGCGGUGGAAUGCGUAGAUAUAUGGAAGAACACCAGUGGCGAAGGCGGCUACCUGGUCUGCAACUGACGCUGAGACUCGAAAGCAUAGGGUGCGAACAGGAUUAGAUACCCUGGUAGGAUAGCG